RNAcentral lists this ribosomal RNA (482 nucleotides) under uncultured bacterium. Its description in RNAcentral is "partial 16S ribosomal RNA". It matches the Rfam family "Bacterial small subunit ribosomal RNA", at positions 30 to 507 of the family's 1533-position model. The record is from RNAcentral.
AUUGAACGCUGGCGGCAUGCCUUACACAUGCAAGUCGAACGGUAACAGGUCUUCGGAUGCUGACGAGUGGCGAACGGGUGAGUAAAACAUCGGAACGUGCCCGAUCGUGGGGGAUAACGAAGCGAAAGCUUUGCUAAUACCGCAUACGAUCUACGGAUGAAAGCAGGGGACCGCAAGGCCUUGCGCGAACGGAGCGGCCGAUGGCAGAUUAGGUAGUUGGUGGGAUAAAAGCUUACCAAGCCGACGAUCUGUAGCUGGUCUGAGAGGACGACCAGCCACACUGGGACUGAGACACGGCCCAGACUCCUACGGGAGGCAGCAGUGGGGAAUUUUGGACAAUGGGCGAAAGCCUGAUCCAGCCAUGCCGCGUGCAGGAUGAAGGCCUUCGGGUUGUAAACUGCUUUUGUACGGAACGAAAAGACUCUGGUUAAUACCUGGGGUCCAUGACGGUACCGUAAGAAUAAGCACCGGCUAACUACGUG